This 497-nucleotide ribosomal RNA is filed under the name uncultured bacterium. Its description in RNAcentral is "partial 16S ribosomal RNA". It matches the Rfam family "Bacterial small subunit ribosomal RNA", at positions 28 to 507 of the family's 1533-position model. The record is from RNAcentral.
GAUGAACGCUGGCGGCGUGCCUAAUACAUGCAAGUCGAGCGAACAGACGAGGAGCUUGCUCCUCUGACGUUAGCGGCGGACGGGUGAGUAACACGUGGAUACCCUACCUAUAAGACUGGGAUAACUUCGGGACACCGGAGCUAAUACCGGAUAAUAUAUUGCACCGCAUGGUUCAAUAGUGAAAGACGGUUUUGCUGUCACUUAUAGAUGGAUCCGCGCCGCAUUAGCUAGUUGGUAGGGUAACGGCUUACCAAGGCAACGAUGCGUAGCCGACCUGAGAGGGGGAUCGGCCACACUGGAACGUGGACACGGUCCAGACUCCUACGGGAGGCAGCAGUAGGGAAUCUUCCGCAAUGGGCGAAAGUUUGACGGAGCAACGCCGCGUGAGUGAUGAAGGUCUUCGGAGCGGAAAACUCUGUUAUUAGGGAAGAACAAAUGUGUAAGUAACUAUGCACGUCUUGACGGUACCUAAUCAGAAAGCCACGGCUAACUACGUG